GACGAACGCUGGCGGCGUGCUUAACACAUGCAAGUCGAACGGUGAAGGGAAGCUUGCUUCCCGGAUCAGUGGCGAACGGGUGAGUAACACGUGGGCAAUCUGCCCCAGACUUUGGGAUAACUACUCGGAAGAGUAGCUAAUACCGAAUAUUCAGCCUUGCAGGCAUCUGCGAGGCUGGAAAGUUUCUCGGUCUGGGAUGAGCCCGCGGCCUAUCAGCUAGUUGGUGAGGUAAUGGCUCACCAAGGCGACGACGGGUAGCCGGCCUGAGAGGGCGACCGGCCACACUGGGACUGAGACACGGCCCAGACUCCUACGGGAGGCAGCAGUGGGGAAUAUUGCGCAAUGGGCGAAAGCCUGACGCAGCAACGCCGCGUGCGGGAUG
Molecule: ribosomal RNA, 382 nt
Filed under: uncultured bacterium
Lineage: Bacteria
Description: bacterial SSU rRNA
Rfam family: Bacterial small subunit ribosomal RNA
Source: RNAcentral